Molecule: ribosomal RNA, 491 nt
Filed under: uncultured bacterium
Lineage: Bacteria
Description: partial 16S ribosomal RNA
Rfam family: Bacterial small subunit ribosomal RNA
Source: RNAcentral
AGUGAACGCUGGCGGUAGGCCUAACACAUGCAAGUCGAACGGCAGCACAGUAAGAGCUUGCUCUUACGGGUGGCGAGUGGCGGACGGGUGAGGAAUACAUCGGAAUCUACUUUUUCGUGGGGGAUACGUAGGGAAACUUACGCUAAUACCGCAUACGACCUACGGGUGAAAGCAGGGGAUCUUCGGACCUUGCGCGAUUGAAUGAGCCGAUGUCGGAUUAGCUAGUUGGCGGGGUAAAGGCCCACCAAGGCGACGAUCCGUAGCUGGUCUGAGAGGAUGAUCAGCCACACUGGAACUGAGACACGGUCCAGACUCCUACGGGAGGCAGCAGUGGGGAAUAUUGGACAAUGGGCGCAAGCCUGAUCCAGCCAUACCGCGUGGGUGAAGAAGGCCUUCGGGUUGUAAAGCCCUCUUGUUGGGAAAGAAAAGCAGCAGGUUAAUACCCCGCUGUUCUGACGGUACCCAAAGAAUAAGCACCGGCUAACUUCGUG